This 325-nucleotide ribosomal RNA is filed under the name uncultured eukaryote. RNAcentral's name for it is "partial 18S ribosomal RNA". It matches the Rfam family "Eukaryotic small subunit ribosomal RNA", at positions 1470 to 1796 of the family's 1831-position model. The record is from RNAcentral.
CCCUUAGAUGUUCUGGGCUGCACGCGCGCUACACUGAAGCGUUCAACGAGUAUUCACCUUGCCCGGGAGGGUUGGGUAAUCUUUUGAAAACGCUUCGUGAUGGGGAUAGAUUAUUGCAAUUAUUAAUCUUCAACGAGGAAUUCCUAGUAAGCGCGAGUCAUCAGCUCGUGCUGAUUACGUCCCUGCCCUUUGUACACACCGCCCGACGCUCCUACCGAUUGAGUGAUCCGGUGAAUAAUUCGGACUGCAGCACUGCUUGGUCUCCAGGCUUUGCAGCGGAAAGUUUAGUGAACCUUAUCACUUAGAGGAAGGAGAAGUCGUAACA